Frieseomelitta varia is the source of this 625-nucleotide long non-coding RNA. RefSeq lists it as uncharacterized. NCBI's taxonomy places the organism in Eukaryota, Metazoa, Arthropoda, Insecta, Hymenoptera, Apidae. The record is from RefSeq and is a predicted model, not a curated record. The transcript has 4 exons.
AGGCGUAGAAGGCCUUGAAGCUCGAAAUUCAAAACAACAACAAGAACACAAUGUUUAUGUUCGUACUACCGUGCCUGUUCGGACAAGAUCACCCCAUCCCCUACUAUUUUCACAAUUGGUUGACCAGACGUGUCGCGGAGAGUCAUUCUGCUAUCGAAUAACAACAACACGCAUUACGUUGCAUUAGUUAUGUCUUGAUUUCAAAGAUAGCAUAGAUUGCAUAGACACCAUGACCAUCGAUGGACAAUCUAAGGAAUUUUCAUGAAAAUUGAAAAUUUGUGUGACCGCGUGCAAUGCGGUCGGUAGAGCCAGUGUUUGUUGCGUAAUAUUUUAAUUCUUGUCUGAGCGAAAUGGCUCUUAUUAAUUUAUUUAAAUUUAAUUCGCGAAGUUAGAGCCAGUGAGUUCGCCGAUUGUUACUUAAGCGCGCGCGUUAAUAAUCUUUUAUUUUUCUUUUUUUAUAUUUUUUCUUGUUCAAUACUCGUUUUCGGUAUUAGAGUCAGUGCUCAAGAGGACAAGGCCUCUCCAAGAAAUCAAGAUCACGCUUCACAUCAGCAUUAACUUUUUGGGGGAAAAUCCAACGGUAGCUCUAAAGCCAAGAAUAUAAGAAUCUUUCAUUAUCUCCAAC